RNAcentral lists this ribosomal RNA (432 nucleotides) under Plantago maritima (sea plantain). RNAcentral's name for it is "eukaryotic LSU rRNA". The stretch from base 292 to 432 matches the Rfam family "Eukaryotic large subunit ribosomal RNA", at positions 1 to 141 of the family's 3401-position model. Lineage: Eukaryota; Viridiplantae; Streptophyta; Magnoliopsida; Lamiales; Plantaginaceae. The record is from RNAcentral.
UGCAGAAUCCCGUGAACCAUCGAAUCUUUGAACGCAAGUUGCGCCCGACGCCUUCGGGCUGAGGGCACGCCUGCCUGGGCGUCACGCAUCGCGUCGCCCCCUCCCAGUCCCUUGCGGAUAGGCGAUGGGGCGGAAAAUGGCCUCCCGUUAGCUCGGUUGGCCCAAAUGGGAUCCCUCAUCGACGGAUGUCACAACCAGUGGUGGUUGAAAGAUCAUUUGUGCUGUUGUGCUUCACGCUGUCGCUUGUGGUGGAUCGCUCGGAACCAACGGCGUGUCAUGCGCCUUCGACCGCGACCCCAGGUCAGACGGGAUUACCCGCUGAGUUUAAGCAUAUCAAUAAGCGGUGGAGAAGAAACUUACAAGGAUUCCCCUAGUAACGGCGAGCGAACCGGGAAUAGCCCAACUUGAGAAUCGGACGGCUUCGUCGUCCGA